UGCCUUACACAUGCAAGUCGAACGGCAGCACGGGAGCUUGCUCCUGGUGGCGAGUGGCGAACGGGUGAGUAAUACAUCGGAACGUACCCAGGAGUGGGGGAUAACGUAGCGAAAGUUACGCUAAUACCGCAUAUUCUGUGAGCAGGAAAGCGGGGGAUCGCAAGACCUCGCGCUCUUGGAGCGGCCGAUGUCGGAUUAGCUAGUUGGUGAGGUAAAAGCUCACCAAGGCGACGAUCCGUAGCAGGUCUGAGAGGAUGAUCUGCCACACUGGGACUGAGACACGGCCCAGACUCCUACGGGAGGCAGCAGUAAGGAAUAUUGGUCAAUGGACGCAAGUCUGAACCAGCCAUGCCGCGUGGAGGAUGAAGGUCCUCUGGAUUGUAAAGUUC
RNAcentral lists this ribosomal RNA (389 nucleotides) under uncultured organism. RNAcentral describes it as "bacterial SSU rRNA". It matches the Rfam family "Bacterial small subunit ribosomal RNA", at positions 45 to 433 of the family's 1533-position model. The record is from RNAcentral.